GACGAACGCUGGCGGCGUGCUUAACACAUGCAAGUCGAACGGAAAGGCCCUGCUUUUGUGGGGUGCUCGAGUGGCGAACGGGUGAGUAACACGUGAGUAACCUGCCCUUGACCUUGGGAUAACUUCAGGAAACUGGGGCUAAUACCGGAUAGGAGCUCCUGCUGCAUGGUGGGGGUUGGAAAGUUUCGGCGGUUGGGGAUGGACUCGCGGCUUAUCAGCUUGUUGGUGGGGUAGUGGCUUACCAAGGCUUUGACGGGUAGCCGGCCUGAGAGGGUGACCGGCCACAAUGGGACUGAGAUACGGCCCAGACUCCUACGGGAGGCAGCAGUGGGGAAUAUUGCACAAUGGGCGGAAGCCUGAUGCAGCAACGCCGCGUGCGGGAUGACGGACUUCGGGUUGUAAACCGCUUUCGCCUGUGACGAAGCGUGAGUGACGGUAAUGGGUAAAGAAGCACCGGCUAACUACGUG
Molecule: ribosomal RNA, 468 nt
Filed under: uncultured bacterium
Lineage: Bacteria
Description: partial 16S ribosomal RNA
Rfam family: Bacterial small subunit ribosomal RNA
Source: RNAcentral